This 68-nucleotide transfer RNA is filed under the name Culex quinquefasciatus (southern house mosquito). It matches the Rfam family "tRNA". Rfam says of the family: Transfer RNA (tRNA) molecules are approximately 80 nucleotides in length. Their secondary structure includes four short double-helical elements and three loops (D, anti-codon, and T loops). Lineage: Eukaryota; Metazoa; Arthropoda; Insecta; Diptera; Culicidae. The record is from Rfam by way of RNAcentral.
AGCUGUAGCUAAAUGGUUAUGGUGUUCGCUUUGUAAGCGAAUGGUUCUGGGUUCGAUUCCCAUCUGCU